Podarcis lilfordi (Lilford's wall lizard) is the source of this 69-nucleotide non-coding RNA. Lineage: Eukaryota; Metazoa; Chordata; Lepidosauria; Squamata; Lacertidae. The record is from the annotation of a GenBank genome assembly.
GCCAUAGCUCAGACAUAGAGCAUCUGCUUUGCAUUCAGAAGGUCCCAGGUUCAAUCCUCGGCAACUGCA